AGCGUACACGGUGGAUGCCCUGGCAGUCAGAGGCGAUGAAGGACGUGCUAAUCUGCGAUAAGCGUCGGUAAGGUGAUAUGAACCGUUAUAACCGGCGAUUUCCGAAUGGGGAAACCCAGUGUGAUUCGUCACACUAUCAUUAACUGAAUCCAUAGGUUAAUGAGGCGAACCGGGGGAACUGAAACAUCUAAGUACCCCGAGGAAAAGAAAUCAACCGAGAUUCCCCCAGUAGCGGCGAGCGAACGGGGAGCAGCCCAGAGCCUGAAUCAGUGUGUGUGUUAGUGGAAGCGUCUGGAAAGGCGCGCGAUACAGGGUGACAGCCCCGUACACAAAAAUGCACAUGCUGUGAGCUCGAUGAGUAGGGCGGGACACGUGGUAUCCUGUCUGAAUAUGGGGGGACCAUCCUCCAAGGCUAAAUACUCCUGACUGACCGAUAGUGAACCAGUACCGUGAGGGAAAGGCGAAAAGAACCCCGGCGAGGGGAGUGAAAAAGAACCUGAAACCGUGUAUGUACAAGCAGUGGGAGCACAGAGCAAUCUGUGUGACUGCGUACCUUUUGUAUAAUGGGUCAGCGACUUAUAUUCUGUAGCAAGGUUAACCGAAUAGGGGAGCCGAAGGGAAACCGAGUCUUAACUGGGCGUUAAGUUGCAGGGUAUAGACCGAAACCCGGUGAUCUAGCCAUGGGCAGGUUGAAGGUUGGGUAACACUAACUGGAGGACCGAACCGACUAAUGUUGAAAAAUUAGCGGAUGACUUGUGGCUGGGGGUGAAAGGCCAAUCAAACCGGGAGAUAGCUGGUUCUCCCCGAAAGCUAUUUAGGUAGCGCCUCGUGAAUUCAUCUCCGGGGGUAGAGCACUGUUUCGGCAAGGGGGUCAUCCCGACUUACCAACCCGAUGCAAACUGCGAAUACCGGAGAAUGUUAUCACGGGAGACACACGGCGGGUGCUAACGUCCGUCGUGAAGAGGGAAACAACCCAGACCGCCAGCUAAGGUCCCAAAGUCAUGGUUAAGUGGGAAACGAUGUGGGAAGGCCCAGACAGCCAGGAUGUUGGCUUAGAAGCAGCCAUCAUUUAAAGAAAGCGUAAUAGCUCACUGGUCGAGUCGGCCUGCGCGGAAGAUGUAACGGGGCUAAACCAUGCACCGAAGCUGCGGCAGCGACGCUGAUGCGUUGUUGGGUAGGGGAGCGUUCUGUAAGCCUGCGAAGGUGUGCUGUGAGGCAUGCUGGAGGUAUCAGAAGUGCGAAUGCUGACAUAAGUAACGAUAAAGCGGGUGAAAAGCCCGCUCGCCGGAAGACCAAGGGUUCCUGUCCAACGUUAAUCGGGGCAGGGUGAGUCGACCCCUAAGGCGAGGCCGAAAGGCGUAGUCGAUGGGAAACAGGUUAAUAUUCCUGUACUUGGUGUUACUGCGAAGGGGGGACGGAGAAGGCUAUGUUGGCCGGGCGACGGUUGUCCCGGUUUAAGCGUGUAGGCUGGUUUUCCAGGCAAAUCCGGAAAAUCAAGGCUGAGGCGUGAUGACGAGGCACUACGGUGCUGAAGCAACAAAUGCCCUGCUUCCAGGAAAAGCCUCUAAGCAUCAGGUAACAUCAAAUCGUACCCCAAACCGACACAGGUGGUCAGGUAGAGAAUACCAAGGCGCUUGAGAGAACUCGGGUGAAGGAACUAGGCAAAAUGGUGCCGUAACUUCGGGAGAAGGCACGCUGAUAUGUAGGUGAAGUCCCUCGCGGAUGGAGCUGAAAUCAGUCGAAGAUACCAGCUGGCUGCAACUGUUUAUUAAAAACACAGCACUGUGCAAACACGAAAGUGGACGUAUACGGUGUGACGCCUGCCCGGUGCCGGAAGGUUAAUUGAUGGGGUCAGCGCAAGCGAAGCUCUUGAUCGAAGCCCCGGUAAACGGCGGCCGUAACUAUAACGGUCCUAAGGUAGCGAAAUUCCUUGUCGGGUAAGUUCCGACCUGCACGAAUGGCGUAAUGAUGGCCAGGCUGUCUCCACCCGAGACUCAGUGAAAUUGAACUCGCUGUGAAGAUGCAGUGUACCCGCGGCAAGACGGAAAGACCCCGUGAACCUUUACUAUAGCUUGACACUGAACAUUGAGCCUUGAUGUGUAGGAUAGGUGGGAGGCUUUGAAGUGUGGACGCCAGUCUGCAUGGAGCCGGCCUUGAAAUACCACCCUUUAAUGUUUGAUGUUCUAACGUUGACCCGUAAUCCGGGUUGCGGACAGUGUCUGGUGGGUAGUUUGACUGGGGCGGUCUCCUCCUAAAGAGUAACGGAGGAGCACGAAGGUUGGCUAAUCCUGGUCGGACAUCAGGAGGUUAGUGCAAUGGCAUAAGCCAGCUUGACUGCGAGCGUGACGGCGCGAGCAGGUGCGAAAGCAGGUCAUAGUGAUCCGGUGGUUCUGAAUGGAAGGGCCAUCGCUCAACGGAUAAAAGGUACUCCGGGGAUAACAGGCUGAUACCGCCCAAGAGUUCAUAUCGACGGCGGUGUUUGGCACCUCGAUGUCGGCUCAUCACAUCCUGGGGCUGAAGUAGGUCCCAAGGGUAUGGCUGUUCGCCAUUUAAAGUGGUACGCGAGCUGGGUUUAGAACGUCGUGAGACAGUUCGGUCCCUAUCUGCCGUGGGCGCUGGAGAACUGAGGGGGGCUGCUCCUAGUACGAGAGGACCGGAGUGGACGCAUCACUGGUGUUCGGGUUGUCAUGCCAAUGGCACUGCCCGGUAGCUAAAUGCGGAAGAGAUAAGUGCUGAAAGCAUCUAAGCACGAAACUUGCCCCGAGAUGAGUUCUCCCUGACUCCUUGA
RNAcentral lists this ribosomal RNA (2788 nucleotides) under Escherichia coli DEC12E. Its description in RNAcentral is "bacterial LSU rRNA". It matches the Rfam family "Bacterial large subunit ribosomal RNA". Lineage: Bacteria; Pseudomonadati; Pseudomonadota; Gammaproteobacteria; Enterobacterales; Enterobacteriaceae. The record is from RNAcentral.